This 840-nucleotide ribosomal RNA is filed under the name uncultured methanogenic archaeon. Its description in RNAcentral is "bacterial SSU rRNA". It matches the Rfam family "Archaeal small subunit ribosomal RNA", at positions 35 to 879 of the family's 1478-position model. Lineage: Archaea; Methanobacteriati; Methanobacteriota. The record is from RNAcentral.
ACUGUACGACAAAUCCCUGCCAGUAAAAUGAACUUCGUGAACUUGGCUUAUUGCUCAGUACCACGUGGAUAACUUGCCCUAAGGUCUGGCAUAAUUCCGUGAGACUGGGGAUAUUCCGGAUAAGAUCAUGGAUGCUGGAAUGCACCGUGGUCGAAAGCUUUUGUGCCUAAGGAUGGGUCUGCGGUCUAUCAGGUUGUAGUGGGUGUAACGUACCUACUAGCCUACGACGGAUACGGGUUGUGGGAGCAAGAGCCCGGAGAUGGAUUCUGAGACAUGAAUCCAGGCCCUACGGGGCGCAGCUGGCGCGAAACCUUUACAAUGCGGGAAACCGCGAUAAGGGGACACCGAGUGCCAGCAUCCUAUGUUGGCUGUCAUAAUGUAGAAAUAACAUGUGUUAGCAAGGGCCGGGCAAGACCGGUGCCAAGCCGCCGCGGUAACACCGGCGGCCCGAGUGGUGGCACUAUUAUUGGGUCUAAAGGGUCCGUACCCGGUUUGGUCACGCUUCCGGGAAAUCUGACGGCUUAACCGUUAGGCUUUCGGGGGAUACUACCAGGCUUGGGACCGGGAGAGGUAAGAGGUACUACGGGGGUAGGAGUGAAAGCUUGUAAUCCCUGUGGGACCACCAGUGGCCAAGGCGUCUAACCAGAACGGGUCCGACGGUGAGGGACAAAAGCUGGGGGCACGAACCGGAUUAGAUACCCGGGUAGUCCCAGCCGUAAACUAUGCUAGGUAGGUGUCAGGGACGGUCAGACCGUNCNUGGUGCCGUAGGGAAGCCGUGAAGCGACCACCUGGGAAGUAAGGUCGCAAGGCUGAAAUUAAAGGAAUAGGCAAGGGAGCAC